GAGCACAUGGGAAUCGGAUUCCGGCACGCAAAUCUCUCCCCCUUUUCGCCUCCGCGCGAUGGCUUCCUCGACGCCGCAGCCACCGCCGUCCGCGGCGGUCUUUGCCGUCAACGGCCAGCGCUUCGAGCUCCGCGGUGGCGACGACCCGGGCGCCACCCUCCUCGACUUCAUCCGCACCCGCACCCGCUUCACCGGGCCCAAGCUCGGCUGCGGCGAAGGUGGGUGCGGCGCGUGUGUAGUGCUGCUCUCCACGUACGACGCGGCGGCCGACCAGGUCUCGCACGCCGCCGUGAGCUCGUGCCUGACCCUUGUGCACGGGCUUCACCACUGCGCGGUCACCACCACCGAGGGGCUCGGGAACAGCCGCGACGGGCUCCACGCCGUGCACGCGCGAUUCGCGGGCUUCCACGCCUCGCAGUGCGGCUUCUGCACGCCCGGCAUGUGCAUGUCCCUCGUCGCCGCGCUAGCCGGCGCAGAGGGCAAGGGGUCCGGUCCGCCUCCGCGGGAGGGGUUCUCGAGGCUCACGUCGGCUGACGCGGAGCGCGCCGUCGUGGGUAACCUGUGCCGCUGCACGGGUUACCGCCCCAUUGCCGACGCCUGCAAGAGCUUCGCGGCAGACGUCGAUUUGGAGGACCUUGGUCUCAACUCCUUCUGGAAAAAGGGAGACGCUCAUGUCGACAAAUUGCCACCGUACAAGGAGGGGAGCAUUGGUGCUUUCCCAGAAUUUCUCAAGGCUGAGAUCAGAGCCUCUCUGAGGAUUGAUAAGUGUAUGUCGGCUAGGGUAAUGGCGGGAAGCGAGAGCUCUUGGCAUCGACCUCGGAGUGUGGAGGAGUACUACAGGCUGAUAGCUUCUGAUUCGUUCGAUGGAAGUGGCACAAAGGUGGUCGUAGGCAACACCUCUUCUGGUGUUUACAGGGAGGCAGAGGUGUAUGAUAGGUACAUUGACCUGAGAGACAUCCCGGAGUUGAAUUCAGUAUCCAAGGAUUCCGAGGGUGUUCAAAUUGGAGCUGCAACAUCGAUCUCUCUGGUUAUUGAGAUUUUAAGACGAGAAGGUGAUGACUGCAAGGAUGUCAUCUUUGGUAAGAUUGCUGAUCACAUGGAAAAGGUGUCCUCUCAUUAUGUUCGGAACACGGCAACCUUGGGUGGAAAUUUGGUGAUGGCGCAAAGGGACGAAUUUCCCUCUGAUAUUGCAACUAUUCUUCUUGCUGCUGGUUCGUCAGUGUGCAUCCAGGUAUCAUCAGGAAAAUUGAAUGUCACGUUGGAUGAGUUCCUGGAAAUGCCACCGUGUGAUUACAAGGCACUACUCUUAAGCAUUUCUGUUCCUCAUUGUACUCCUGACAAUGUCUCAUCAAGUGCUGGGGCUGUAAAUAUGACAGGAGAUAAGACAGAAAGUUCACUGCUAUUCGAGACAUACCGAGCUGCUCCGCGCCCUCUUGGAAAUGCAGUUGCUUACCUUAACUGCGCUUUCUUUGCUCAAAUCUCCUCAGAUGAAAGUUCAGGAAGCUUAAUACUGGAAAAACUACAUUUAGCUUUUGGUGCAUUUGGAACCCGACAUGCUAUCAGGGCUAGAGACGUUGAGAAGUACUUAGUUGGUAAACCCAUUAGUGCAUCAGUCCUGCUUGAAGCAUGCAACGUUCUUAAGAAAAUCAUUGUUCCAAAAGAAGGCACAACACAUUCUGCUUACAGAUCAAGCUUGGCAGUUGCCUUUCUGUUUACUUUUCUUUACCCGAUGACCAAACGCAAUGUGAAGCCUGCAAGAUCAGCUCGUCUAAAUGGCCAUGCUGCUUCUGAUACCAAUGGAAAUCCAAAUUGUCCACCCAGUGCAGAUAUUGACUUGUCACUUAAGGAGACCAAUAGUGUGGAAUCUGGUCUGCAUAGCAAUGACCACAUACUUGAAUCUUGCAAGCAGAUAGUUGAAAUCAGUAAAGAUUAUCUCCCAGUUGGCAUACCAGCCAAGAAAGUUGGAGCAGAACUCCAAGCCUCUGGUGAGGCUGUAUAUGUGGAUGACAUCCCUUCUCCAGAGGGCUGCCUUUAUGGAGCAUUUGUAUAUAGUACAAAGCCUUUAGCUCAUGUGAAUAGCAUAGAGCUCGACCCUUCUCUCGAGCAGGUGAAAACUGUGGCAGUUAUCACUGUUAAGGAUAUUCCAGAGGGGGGUGGCAAUUUUGGGGCCAACACUAUAUUUGGACCUGAACCUCUGUUUGGCGAUCCACUUACUCAGUGUGCUGGGGAACCUCUUGGUAUCGUGGUUGCAGAAACACGGAAUUUUGCCAAUAUAGCUGCCAAACGAGCUGUAGUCAACUACAGCACAGAAACUUUAGAUAGCCCAGUUUUAUCGAUAGAGGAGGCAGUUAGAAGAUGCAGUUACUUUGAAACCCCACCAUUUCUUCUUCCGCAAAAUAUUGGUGAUUUUUCCAAAGAGAUGGAAGAAGCCGAUCAGAAGAUCUACUCAGCUGAGGUGAAGCUUAACUCACAAUAUUACUUUUACAUGGAAACACAAACUGCUCUAGCCAUACCUGAUGAGGAUAAUUGCAUGGUAGUGUAUAGCUCAAGUCAGUGCCCUGAGGCAGCACAAAAUAACAUUGCAAGAUGCCUCGGUUUACCUUGUCACAAUGUUCGUGUUAUCACUAGAAGAGUUGGUGGUGGCUUCGGAGGAAAAGCUGUUAGAUCAUUACCAGUGGCGACGGCCUGUGCACUUGCAGCAUUUAAGUUGCAUCGUCCUGUUCGAAUGUAUCUUGAUCGCAAGACUGACAUGAUAAUGACUGGCGGCCGGCAUCCCAUGAAAAUAUGCUAUUCAAUAGGAUUCAAAUCAGAUGGGAAGGUCACAGGAUUGCAUGUAGAUUUGUUCAUAAAUGCAGGAAUGACCAUGGAUGUUAGCCCAAUUAUUCCUCAUAAUUUCAUAGAGGCACUGAAGAAAUAUAAUUGGGGUGCCUUUUCAUAUGAUGCAAAGAUUUGCAAAACAAACAUUUCAACACGGUCUGCAAUGCGGGGCCCUGGAGAAGUGCAAGGUUCUUAUGUUGCUGAAGCUAUUAUUGAGCAUGUGGCGUCAGUUCUCUCUACUGAUGCUAAUUUGGUAAGGCAGAGAAAUAUUCACACAGUGGAGAGCCUUGCUUUGUUUCACAGUGAGUGCCUGGAAAAUGCCUUGGGGUAUACACUUCCCUCUAUCUGUAAUCAGUUGACUGCAUCAGCAAAUUACCAAUAUCGUUCAGAAAUAAUCCAGACCUUUAACAAAACCAGCCAGUGGAAAAAGAGGGGACUUUCUUUUGUUCCGAUAGUGCAUAAAGUGUUAUCUCGACCGACACCUGGAAAGGUGUCUAUUCUUAACGAUGGAUCCAUUGUUGUUGAAGUUGGAGGCAUUGAGUUAGGCCAGGGGCUUUGGACAAAAGUGAAGCAGAUGGCAGCAUUUGGUCUUGGACAGUUGUGGGCUGAUCGAAGCCAAGACCUGUUGGAAAGAGUAAGAGUUAUUCAAGCAGACACGUUAAGUGUGGUACAGGGAGGGUGGACCACAGGGAGUACCACAUCAGAAUGCAGCUGUGAGGCAGUUCGACUUGCCUGCAAUAUCAUGGUUGACAGGCUGAAAUCACUCAAGGAGCAAUUGCAAGAAAAGCAUGGCAAGGUUUCAUGGGAUGGACUAAUUUCACAGGCAAAAAUGGCUGGUGUGGAUUUGUCAGCAAGAGAAUAUUACAUUCCUGGGGCUUCUGGUUCAUACCUAAACUACGGAGCUGCUGCUAGUGAGGUAGAGAUUGAUCUUCUCACGGGAGCAACUACAGUUUUGCGCAGUGAUCUUAUAUAUGACUGUGGCCAGAGCUUAAAUCCUGCUGUGGACAUGGGGCAGGUGGAAGGGGCCUUUGUUCAGGGAAUUGGUUAUUUCAUGAGUGAGGAAUAUGUGACCAAUACGGAUGGGCUGGUUGUCUCGGACGGGACUUGGACAUACAAGAUCCCAACCGUGGACACCAUCCCUAAACAGUUUAAUGUUGAGCUGCGCAACAGUGGAUUUCACAAGAAGAGAGUGCUGUCUUCAAAAGCAUCUGGGGAGCCGCCUUUGCUCCUUGCAGCUUCAGUUCACUGCGCAACAAGGGAUGCAAUUGCCGCAGCACGGAAGGAACUCCACUGUUGUGGGUCUGGAUCGUCUUCACCUUCGUUCUUUGAGUUGGAAGUUCCGGCAAUCAUGCCUGUGGUGAAGGAGCUGUGUGGCUUGGACAAUGUGGAGAAGUAUUUGGAAACUCUAGUGGGUUCCAAAUAAAUACAGACGAAUUUCACAUUUGGCAAAGUAAAUUAUAAUGAUAGCAUUAUAAGGUAUACUUCUUGCAUAGUACUCUGGGCAUACUAGAAGGUACUGUGUGAUCCACUUGUUAACGCAUGCACCAUUCGACUAUAACAGAAUUUUGUUUGGUUGUGCCACAUUUGUUCGAUAAUUUCAUUCAGGUACGGACUUACAGUACAUAGUUCUUAGGUAACAUUUUGUACUAGACUGAUGGAUGGAUACAGGUAUUUGUGACUCAAAUAGGCAAAACGAUGAGAGUAAACAAAUGGAAGAUGUAUACUUGGAGCAUGAUGAGACAUGGUCAUGGGACCUCCCUAUUUGUGUAAUGUAAUGUGAUUCAUAGUUUGAUAAUGUUUUUUUUUCAGAAAAAGCAAGGUUAUAAUGUACUCCCUCCGUCCGGAAAUACUUGUCAUUGAAAUGGAUGUAUCUAGAUGUAUUUUAGUUCUAGAUACAUCCAUUUUGGUGACAAGUAAUUCUGGACGGAGGGAGUAGUACCUUUCGGUUUACCAUCCGUGGAUGCUCCGUUCUUAAAUAUAAGAUGUUUUGGUAGUUGAAAUUGAACUGCCAGAACAGAGGGACUAUAAUGUUAUUUAGGAACAGGG
RNAcentral lists this ribosomal RNA (4863 nucleotides) under Triticum aestivum (bread wheat). RNAcentral describes it as "partial small subunit ribosomal RNA". The stretch from base 4642 to 4756 matches the Rfam family "MIR1120/MIR1122 microRNA precursor family". The record is from RNAcentral. Lineage: Eukaryota; Viridiplantae; Streptophyta; Magnoliopsida; Poales; Poaceae.